GACGAACGCUGGCGGCGUGCUUAACACAUGCAGGUCGAACGGAAAGGCCCAGCUUGCUGGGUGCUCGAGUGGCGAACGGGUGAGUAACACGUGGGUGAUCUGCCCCUAACUUCGGGAUAAGCUUGGGAAACUGGGUCUAAUACCGGAUAGGACAAUCGUUUAGUGUCGGUUGUGGAAAGUUUUUUCGGUUAGGGAUGAGCCCGCGGCCUAUCAGCUUGUUGGUGGGGUAAUGGCCUACCAAGGCGUCGACGGGUAGCCGGCCUGAGAGGGUGGACGGCCACAUUGGGACUGAGAUACGGCCCAGACUCCUACGGGAGGCAGCAGUGGGGAAUAUUGCACAAUGGGCGCAAGCCUGAUGCAGCGACGCCGCGUGGGGGAUGACGGCCUUCGGGUUGUAAACCUCUUUCGACAGGGACGAAGCUUUGGUGACGGUACCUGUAUAAGAAGCACCGGCUAACUACGUG
This 464-nucleotide ribosomal RNA is filed under the name uncultured bacterium. Its description in RNAcentral is "partial 16S ribosomal RNA". It matches the Rfam family "Bacterial small subunit ribosomal RNA", at positions 28 to 507 of the family's 1533-position model. The record is from RNAcentral.